Erinaceus europaeus (western European hedgehog) is the source of this 356-nucleotide long non-coding RNA. RefSeq lists it as uncharacterized. The transcript is spliced from 2 exons. Lineage: Eukaryota; Metazoa; Chordata; Mammalia; Eulipotyphla; Erinaceidae. The record is from RefSeq and is a predicted model, not a curated record.
UCUACUAGCCUCUCCUCCUUCCAAGUAUUUGAGCUCCAGUGACAUUAAGGCAAUCAGGAUUUUCCUAAUCUUUCUCUUGCCAGGUUUUCUUUUUCUUUUUUAAUUUUUAAAAUUUAUUUUCCCUUUUGUUGCCCCCCUUUUAAAAUUCCUUCUUCAGAAACAUGUCUGGAGGGCUGGGCAGACGUGCACCUGGUUGAAUGCACACAUCACAAUGAACAAGGACCAGGGUCAAAGCCCCUGGUCCCUACUUGCAAGGAGUAAGCGGUGAAACAGUGCUGGUGUCUCUCUCUUUCCUUCAACCCUCCCUUUCUUCUCAAUUUCUGUCUCUAGCAAGUAAAUACAUAAAAGUAUUUUUU